This 74-nucleotide transfer RNA is filed under the name Candidatus Desulforudis audaxviator MP104C. It matches the Rfam family "tRNA". Rfam says of the family: Transfer RNA (tRNA) molecules are approximately 80 nucleotides in length. The record is from Rfam by way of RNAcentral. Lineage: Bacteria; Bacillati; Bacillota; Clostridia; Thermoanaerobacterales; Desulforudaceae.
GUGGGCGUAGCUCAGUUGGUCAGAGCGCCAGACUGUGGAUCUGGAGGCCGUGGGUUCGAAGCCCAUCGUCCACC